Molecule: ribosomal RNA, 1576 nt
Filed under: Bacteroides fragilis
Lineage: Bacteria; Pseudomonadati; Bacteroidota; Bacteroidia; Bacteroidales; Bacteroidaceae
Also listed under: 4 other names
Description: 16S ribosomal RNA
Rfam family: Bacterial small subunit ribosomal RNA
Source: RNAcentral
UUAAUUUGAGAGUUUGAUCCUGGCUCAGGACGAACGCUGGCGGCGUGCCUAAUACAUGCAAGUCGAACGAACUCUGGUAUUGAUUGGUGCUUGCAUCAUGAUUUACAUUUGAGUGAGUGGCGAACUGGUGAGUAACACGUGGGAAACCUGCCCAGAAGCGGGGGAUAACACCUGGAAACAGAUGCUAAUACCGCAUAACAACUUGGACCGCAUGGUCCGAGUUUGAAAGAUGGCUUCGGCUAUCACUUUUGGAUGGUCCCGCGGCGUAUUAGCUAGAUGGUGAGGUAACGGCUCACCAUGGCAAUGAUACGUAGCCGACCUGAGAGGGUAAUCGGCCACAUUGGGACUGAGACACGGCCCAAACUCCUACGGGAGGCAGCAGUAGGGAAUCUUCCACAAUGGACGAAAGUCUGAUGGAGCAACGCCGCGUGAGUGAAGAAGGGUUUCGGCUCGUAAAACUCUGUUGUUAAAGAAGAACAUAUCUGAGAGUAACUGUUCAGGUAUUGACGGUAUUUAACCAGAAAGCCACGGCUAACUACGUGCCAGCAGCCGCGGUAAUACGUAGGUGGCAAGCGUUGUCCGGAUUUAUUGGGCGUAAAGCGAGCGCAGGCGGUUUUUUAAGUCUGAUGUGAAAGCCUUCGGCUCAACCGAAGAAGUGCAUCGGAAACUGGGAAACUUGAGUGCAGAAGAGGACAGUGGAACUCCAUGUGUAGCGGUGAAAUGCGUAGAUAUAUGGAAGAACACCAGUGGCGAAGGCGGCUGUCUGGUCUGUAACUGACGCUGAGGCUCGAAAGUAUGGGUAGCAAACAGGAUUAGAUACCCUGGUAGUCCAUACCGUAAACGAUGAAUGCUAAGUGUUGGAGGGUUUCCGCCCUUCAGUGCUGCAGCUAACGCAUUAAGCAUUCCGCCUGGGGAGUACGGCCGCAAGGCUGAAACUCAAAGGAAUUGACGGGGGCCCGCACAAGCGGUGGAGCAUGUGGUUUAAUUCGAAGCUACGCGAAGAACCUUACCAGGUCUUGACAUACUAUGCAAAUCUAAGAGAUUAGACGUUCCCUUCGGGGACAUGGAUACAGGUGGUGCAUGGUUGUCGUCAGCUCGUGUCGUGAGAUGUUGGGUUAAGUCCCGCAACGAGCGCAACCCUUAUUAUCAGUUGCCAGCAUUAAGUUGGGCACUCUGGUGAGACUGCCGGUGACAAACCGGAGGAAGGUGGGGAUGACGUCAAAUCAUCAUGCCCCUUAUGACCUGGGCUACACACGUGCUACAAUGGAUGGUACAACGAGUUGCGAACUCGCGAGAGUAAGCUAAUCUCUUAAAGCCAUUCUCAGUUCGGAUUGUAGGCUGCAACUCGCCUACAUGAAGUCGGAAUCGCUAGUAAUCGCGGAUCAGCAUGCCGCGGUGAAUACGUUCCCGGGCCUUGUACACACCGCCCGUCACACCAUGAGAGUUUGUAACACCCAAAGUCGGUGGGGUAACCUUUUAGGAACCAGCCGCCUAAGGUGGGACAGAUGAUUAGGGUGAAGUCGUAACAAGGUAGCCGUAGGAGAACCUGCGGCUGGAUCACCUCCUUUCUAAGGAA